GAUGCCAGGGGCAACAGCCAAAAAGAACGAUGCGCUCGCGCAAAAGUGAUUUUAUGGCUGAAUGCCCCGCCCUAAUAUGAGGAUAAAAGUGGGGCGAAUGCCACACGAUAUCCGAAUAUUGGGCAGGAUUGUGAGAGUACGAAGUACGAAACAAUCCGUAAGG
This 163-nucleotide small RNA is filed under the name human gut metagenome. RNAcentral's name for it is "Clostridiales-1 RNA". It matches the Rfam family "Clostridiales-1 RNA". The record is from RNAcentral.